CAGCAGCCGCGGUAAUACGUAGGGUGCGAGCGUUAAUCGGAAUUACUGGGCGUAAAGCGUGCGCAGGCGGUUCGUUAAGACAGAUGUGAAAUCCCCGGGCUUAACCUGGGAACUGCAUUUGUGACUGGCGAGCUAGAGUAUGGCAGAGGGGGGUAGAAUUCCACGUGUAGCAGUGAAAUGCGUAGAGAUGUGGAGGAAUACCGAUGGCGAAGGCAGCCCCCUGGGCCAAUACUGACGCUCAUGCGCGAAAGCGUGGGGAGCAAACAGGAUUAGAUACCCCUGUAGUCCCUGUCUCUUAUAC
This 301-nucleotide ribosomal RNA is filed under the name uncultured bacterium. Its description in RNAcentral is "partial 16S ribosomal RNA". It matches the Rfam family "Bacterial small subunit ribosomal RNA", at positions 509 to 807 of the family's 1533-position model. The record is from RNAcentral.